GAAAAAGCAGUGAUUGGAAAGAGUACUGUCCCGAAAUUCCACAGAAAGGUGCCGGGUGAUGAGAGGACCGGAAGGAACGGACAGGAAUACAUCCAGGAGCAGCACACCGAACGCAUGGACAAGUAGGCUGUGACGGGUGCGACCGUUAUAUCGCAGGAGUAUACAAUAUGUACUUUCAGAGGCAGUAUGUGUGAGCAUGCUGUGAAAAAAGGUGGUAACGCGGAAUCUUUCGCCCUUUUG
Molecule: non-coding RNA, 240 nt
Filed under: Roseburia sp.
Lineage: Bacteria; Bacillati; Bacillota; Clostridia; Lachnospirales; Lachnospiraceae
Description: T-box sequence
Rfam family: T-box leader
About the family: Uncharged tRNA acts as the effector for transcription antitermination of genes in the T-box leader family.
Source: RNAcentral